AGCGUAUAUUAAAGUUGUUGCAGUUAAAAAGCUCGUAGUUGGAUUUCUGUUAAUAAUUUAUAUAAAAUAUUUUGAUGAAUAUUUAUAUAAUAUUAACAUAAUUCAUAUUACUAUUUUUUUUAGUAUAUGAAAUUUUACUUUGAGAAAAUUAGAGUGCUUAAAGCAGGCAUAUGCCUUGAAUACUCCAGCAUGGAAUAAUAUUAAAGAUUUUUAUCUUUYUUAUUGGUUCUAAGAUAAGAAUAAUGAUUAAUAGGGACAGUUGGGGGCAUUUGUAUUUAACAGUCAGAGGUGAAAUUCUUAGAUUUGUUAAAGACARACUAAUGCGAAAGCAUUUGCCAAGGAUGUUUUCAUUAAUCAAGAACGAAAGUUAGGGGAUCGAAGACGAUCAGAUACCGUCGUAGUCUUAACCAUAAACUAUGCC
Molecule: ribosomal RNA, 421 nt
Filed under: Cryptosporidium parvum
Lineage: Eukaryota; Apicomplexa; Conoidasida; Eucoccidiorida; Cryptosporidiidae
Description: SSU rRNA
Source: RNAcentral